GACGAACGCUGGCGGCGUGCCUAACACAUGCAAGUGGAGCGACGAACCAGGCUUCGGCCUGGGGCAAGGCCGCGAACGGGUGAGUAACACGUGGGUAACCUGCCCUGAUGAUUGGGACAACCCGAGGAAACUCGGGCUAAUACCGAAUGUGCCCUCCGGCCUCAAGGCCGCUGGGGAAAGGAAGCUUCGGCCUCCGCAUCGGGAUGGGCCCGCGGCCCAUUAGCUUGUUGGUGAGGUAACGGCUCACCAAGGCGACGAUGGGUAGCUGGUCUGAGAGGACGAUCAGCCACACUGGGACUGAGACACGGCCCAGACUCCUACGGGAGGCAGCAGUGGGGAAUCUUGCGCAAUGCGCGAAAGCGUGACGCAGCAACGCCGCGUGGGGGAAGAAGGCCUCGG
This 399-nucleotide ribosomal RNA is filed under the name uncultured bacterium. RNAcentral's name for it is "bacterial SSU rRNA". It matches the Rfam family "Bacterial small subunit ribosomal RNA", at positions 28 to 420 of the family's 1533-position model. The record is from RNAcentral.